This 326-nucleotide unclassified non-coding RNA is filed under the name Puccinia pammelii. The record is from RNAcentral. Lineage: Eukaryota; Fungi; Basidiomycota; Pucciniomycetes; Pucciniales; Pucciniaceae.
UUUUUAUCCUUUUUCUCUACUUCAGGGCUAGUUGUCAUGUUUGGACUUAGAGAAUUUUGAUGACCUCAGGAAUAGAUACUGUAAAUUAUUUUACCUGGUAAAAGUUGCUCAACGUGUUGUACUUGCGUUUGUCGAUAAGCAUACUGUAAAUUUUUUUACCAUGUAAAAAUGCACAAAUUAUACUAUAAAUUUUUUUACCAUGUAAAAAAAAUUUGUUGACUUCAGGGCUAGUUUUUAGUAGAGAUGUUGCAGCCAAGGACCAUAUUUUUGUGUUACACUUUCAGCUUCUCAGCUAUAACACCUUCAACACAAGGAGAAAGUCCCCG